Molecule: long non-coding RNA, 211 nt
Filed under: Solanum tuberosum (potato)
Lineage: Eukaryota; Viridiplantae; Streptophyta; Magnoliopsida; Solanales; Solanaceae
Description: long non-coding RNA (STUB_LNC004480)
Source: RNAcentral
UUGUUCCUCUCAUGACUUCCACUUGAAGAACUGUUCUGAGGACCUGGUCCAUUUCUGUUGUUAUAAGAACAUGUUCCUCGUCCAGCAGGCUUAAAGCCUCUUCCUCUAGAAUUGAAAUUAUUGUUUCCUCUUCUUUGAGAGUAGUUUCCUCUUCCCCUGCCUCUUUGGGCAGGGAAUGCCAUGUUAUGAUUUUGUUGAGGCACUUCUUCUU